RNAcentral lists this long non-coding RNA (13539 nucleotides) under Eucalyptus grandis. RNAcentral's name for it is "long non-coding RNA (EGRA_LNC002984)". Lineage: Eukaryota; Viridiplantae; Streptophyta; Magnoliopsida; Myrtales; Myrtaceae. The record is from RNAcentral.
CCGCUUUCCUACCCGGCUUCUCCUUCGUAGAACCGGAUUUUGGGAACCCUAGAGCUCAACGAUUUGCGGCGCUGAGAUGGGGCCUGGCUAGGAUGUCACCGGGUGAUGACUCGACGCCGACGACGUGGCGAACGGCGGCGACAGGCAGCAGCUAGGGUUGAAGUGUAGGAGGGAACGGCGGACAGCGGUGACCGAGCUCGUACUCACCUGCGGUGAGCUGGAUCAAUCGGUGCCUGGCGUGGCUCUGGUCGACGUGGCACGGCGGGGGAGUAAAUCCGCGGGGAUGGAUUUGCGUCAAGGGGGCGGAAGCAGUAGCUGGCAACAGGCAGCAGCUUCGCUGCAGCAGAUCUGACGAAAGGGGAUGGCAACGGCGGGUAGGUGCUGAAGCAAUUAGUGUCGGAGGACGGUGGUACAGCUCGAGGCAGCUCCUUCUGGUUUCUCUUCUCUCCAGCCCCUCCCGGUGGAUCUGGAACUCUCUCCUCUCUUCCUUCGAUCUGGGCUUGCGAGUGUCGAGCCUCCCCCGAAGUCUCUCGGGGGAAGCUUGAAUGCUCGCAGCUUCGAUCUCUCUCCUCACGCUCGGAUCUCUCCCCUUCGCUUCUCACUCCGGCUAGAUCCGAGCCUCCACCGGCCGGAUCUAACCUCCCCGAACUCGCUCACCGGCAACCUCCCCGAAGUCUCUCAGUGGGAGGUCGGCCGAGCUCGCGACCCGAGUCCUCUCUCGCUCGCUCUUCGAUUCCUCCCCCGAAGUCUCUCAAUGGGAAGAUCUCAGAGCUCGCUCGUGCUCCCUGGCCUUCCCCCCCGACACCCUAUUUAUAGGCGUGGGGGUGCCGGUCGGCAAAGGCUAGACCGGCGGUCUUUGGUGCACUAACCGGCCUUCCUUCGCCGGCCGAACCGGCGUCAGUUCCUCCCCUUCCACGGAGGCUCGCUUGCCAUCAAUGCUGCGUCCUCUCAGCCACCGGCCUACGCUCCUCUCUCUGCUGUAGGUGGUGCUCAAGCGCGUCUUCGUCGGAGCGCGUGACUUGCAGAGGCGGAGGAAGGAAGAAGAUGGGAGGAAGAAGACAGAGAAAAAAAUGGGGGGUAGGCCAAGUCGUGCGAGCCCACGUGAAGAAAAAGGGGGGGGCUGCUGCUUUUGUUUUUCUUUUGUUUUUUUCUGUUUUUUUUCUGUUUUUUUUUGGUUUUUCUAUUCAUUAUUAUUUUUUUAUCCGAAAAAAGAUAAAAUAAAGUAAAACCUAAUUAAUAAACCUAAUUAAAAUUGCGGUGUCAACAGCUGCCCCCUCUUUAAAAGGUGAGCUCGCAGAGGUUGCAUUCAAAGACAGACUGAUGCCUCAAUUUUAUCCAUGCAUGCAUAGUAGAUUAUAUUUUAUUUGGAACUUAUUAUUCUAAAGAGCAAUAUAACUUUACAUAUACUAAGACAGAUAAGAAGAUACCUGUAGUUACUUACCGAGAGUGAGUGAGAUAGGGUGUGAACCCCGAGUUUUGGCAAGUAUCAAGGCGUCAUCUUACCUGGUAAUAUGAGGAGGUUGCUUUUCCAGGGCUCGAACCAUUCUUCGGUCGCCUGUUAAAACAAUCAAUGAUUUGUCUAGGACCCGAACCUUUCUUCGGUUGCCUUGACGGGGGACUGCUCUUCCAGGACCCGAACCAUUCUUCGGUCGCCUGUUGGAGUAAUCGGUGGUUUGUCUCGGACUCGAACCAUUCUUCGGUCGCCGUGACAGGAAGUUGAUUCUCCAGGACCCGAACCAUUCUUCGGUCUCCUGUUAAAACAAUCCAUGAUUUGUCUAGGACCCGAACCUUUCUUCGGUCGCCUUGACGGGAGAUGCGUCGACCUUUCUCAGGGCAUCUAUUUGUGGGUGCCUGAUUUGUAUCGAGGACACCAGUUGGUACCCGACCUUUCUCGGGAGAUGCGCCGACCUUUCUCAGGGCAUCAUAUUUGUUGGGGGUGUCUGACUUCUGUCGAAGACACCAGUUGGUACCCGACCUUUCUCGGGAGAUGCGCCGACCUUUCUCAGGGCAUCGAUUUGUGGGGCGUCUGACUUCUGUCGAAGACACCAGUUGGAACCCGACCUUUCUCGGGAGGAUGCGCCGACCUUUCUCAGGGCAUCAAUUUGUGGGGCGUCUGACUUCCGUCGAAGACACCAGUUGGAACCCAACCUUUCUCGGGAGGAUGCACCGACCUUUCUCAGGGCAUCAAUUUGUGGGGCGUCUGACUUCCGUCGAAGACACCAGUUGGAACCCGACCUUUCUCGGGAGGAUGCGCCGACCUUUCUCAGGGCAUCAAUUUAUGGGGCGUCUGACUUCCGUCGAAGACACCAAUUGGAACCCAACCUUUCUCGGGAGGAUGCGCCGACCUUUCUCAGGGCAUCAAUUCUGGAAGAUACCUGGACAUUCACAAGCAUAUCAAAGAGUACCUGGAUAUUCACAAGUACUAACAUGAAGGAUAUUUGGACCUUUGCAGGCGUCGAAAUGGGUAUUUGGCUGACCAUAGGCAUUGAAGGGGUACUUGGAUGAUCACAAGUAUGAAUUCUUGGGGGAUACCUGGAUGAUCACAAGCAUAUCAAAGAGUACCUGGAUAUUCACAAGUACUAACAUGAAGGAUAUUUGGGCCUUUGCAGGCGUCGAAAUGGGUAUUUGGCUGACCAUAGGCAUUGAAGGGGUACUUGGAUGAUCACAAGUAUGAAUUCUUGGGGGAUACCUGGAUGAUCACAAGCAUCGGAGGGGUACCUGGACGAUCACAGGUACAAACUCUUUGGGGAUACCCGGAUGAUCACAAGUAUCGAAGGGGUACCUGGAUGAUCACAGGUACAAACUCUUUGGGGAUACCUGGAUAUUUGUGAAGGUGUCCCACCUCUUGGUAAUGGGAAUGUCGAGGACGUGCCUUGGAUAUUUAUGAAGGUCUCUCACCUCCUGGUAAUUGGGAAUAUCGAGGGCGUACCUGAGAUAUUCGUGAAGGUCUCUCACCUCCUGGUAAUUGGGAAUAUCGAGGACGUACCUUGGAUAUUCAUGAAGGUCUCUCACCUCCUGGUAAUUGGGAAUAUUGAGGAUGUGCCUCGCAUAUUCAUGAAGGUCUCUCACCUCCUGGUAAAGGGGAAUAUUGAGGACGUACCUGAGAUAUUCGUGAAGGUCUCUCACCUCCUGGUAAAUGGGAAUAUCGAGGGCGUACCUGAGAUAUUCGUGAAGGUCUCUCACCUCCUGGUAAUUGGGAAUAUUGAGGACGUGCCUCGCAUAUUCAUGAAGGUCUCUCACCUCCUGGUAAAGGGGAAUUUGAAUGUAGCACGAAGCUUACCUGGAUGGCCGUAGGUACUUAAAAGGGGUGGAACACCUGGAUAGCCACAGGCGUACAAAGUACUGGGAUACUUGGAUGAACACAAGUAUUUAAUGAUACAACCUGGGACCACUCAGUUGGUCCAAAUGUAGAAAGCAUACCUGGGUAGGCGCAGGCACACAAAGCAGUGGAAUGCUUGAACAACUGCUAUUAUUUGGGGACAACUCAGGCAAGUUAAGUGUCAUGAAAAGGAAGUACCUGGACAACGGUGGGUACUUGACGAUAUGGGGAUACCUAGAUAGCAGUAGGUAUUCCAAGAGAUACUUGGUUAGUCACAAGUAUCAAUACUUUGAGGACAAACUCGAAUAGGUUGAGUGUCAGGAAAAGGGAGUAUCCAAACGGUGACCGGUACUCAAAGACAACAGGGAUACCUAGACAGCAGUAGGUAUUUAACAAUGAAGGGAUACUUGAUCAGUCACAAGUAUCAAUACUUUGAGGACAACUCGAAUAGGUCGAGUGUCGGGAAAAUGGAGUAUCCGAACAGUGACCGGUACUCAAAGACAACAGGGAUACCUAGACAGCAGUAGGUAUUUAACAAUAAAGGGAUACUUGGUCAGUCACAAGUAUCAAUACUUUGAGGACAACUUGGACAGGUCGAGUGUCGGGAAAAGGGAGUAUCCGAACCGUGGCCGGUACUCAAAGACAAUGGGAUGCUAAGAUACCAGUAAGAAUCGAAACUCCAGGGACAACUCGAAUUGGUCGAGUGUCAAGAAGAGAGUACCUAGACAGUGAUAGGUACUUUAAGAUAAAUGGAGACAGGGGUAUGCUUACCUGGCAAUAUCUCUAAUUUCUGAGAGUAUGUUUACUAUUUGCACAAUAUGCACACAUGAUUGUAUAUGCUAUAAAUUCAUGAGCUCAAAUGAGAUUCAUGCAUGAUAAUUUUGUCAGUUCUGCAUCUUUUGAUUUCCACUGGGGAAGAUUUUAAAAGACAACCUUCAUUUAGAAUGUAGAUGUCUUGAGCAUGCCAGAUGAGGGACUUUCAGUCCGAAAGGACUUUUCGCUCACUCUCAUGGAAAAGGCUAUCCUGACCAUUGAUGCAGGAUUCAUAAGGACCACACUAUCUCACUGUCAUCAUGUCAGUAGGGGUCCGAGUAUUCUCGCAAACAGUACGACUUUACCAAUGUGAGAGGUCUUUGUUGAAACUGUGAUGAAGUCUUGGUCAGUGGCUCAUCAGAGGGGACCAUCAAGGUCGAAGCUGAUGGACGAAAAUGUUGCACGAUCAUCUCUGGGUUUGCAAGUCAAGAACCCUGCGAAGAGAGAUAGAGUAAUCUUGCUCGUACUUCUUCGAGCGAUGCUUAUGCACAUAUGAAAUCCUACGUUAAUUGAAGUGCCCCUAGUCUGAAGAGACUUUUACAAUGGGAUACAAUGUAGGCUUGAUUCGUGUGUAAAAAGGUGAGAGCUGGUGAUUGUCUUGGCAUUUGUCACCAGUCUUUCUUCUCACUAUCAAAUGGAUGCUCUAUGGACCACAACAGCAACAUUUUCUUGGCUAUAUUUUUGACUGAGGGACAUUGGCCUUACUUUUACCAGGCAUACUGCUUUUUCAUGCCCCUAUUUUAUUCAAGUUCUUCAUUUAUGGGCAUUGACCUUGCUUUUACUAGGUACACUGCUUUUUUAUGCCCAUGUUUUUUCAUUCUUGUUGCUUGAGAGCUAAUCUUGACAAGUUCAAGCAAACGCCUUUGUUAGACUAUUGAGUCUUCAUCUUUUGCCAGCGCUUUUGAUUAUGAUGCUCAAACGGCAGUAGCUUCUGCUUUAUCUCCAUGUGAGGGUAAAAUUACAGACUCACUUAGGUUGUACAAUGAAUACAAGUGCGUAAAGAAAGAAUUGCUCUCCAUGACUCUAGGGCACUUAAAUUAACGCGAGUGUUCAUAUGCAAUAAAGACACCCAAAGAUUGAUGCAAGUGCGAGCAAGAAAAUUUCUAUCUCUCUUCUCACCUUGUGAUGCUGCUUCGCUUCUAAUCUGCCCCGGUGUAGGGGUUGUUCUUGACGGGAGCAUAGCAGGAAUUUGUCAAUGUAUGGGGCUCAAUGGGGUGAGCGAUGGAAUGCCUCUCACUAUUUUGGUUAUCGUACCAUUCGUGAGAGAACUCUUUACCCUGUAGCCAUGGAAUCUUCUGCACUCAUCUCACAAGUGUAUAGAUGGGGGAUUGUGUGUAGGAUAUGGCUUGCCUUUCAUCAUUCUGACGUACCUCAUCCAGCAUGCUCAAUUAAUCUUGUAUUCUUCACUUAGCUGUCUAUUCUAAUAAUCCUCAGUGGAAUCAGUGACUUAGAUAGACGAAAUCAUCAUGCAGAAUUCAUCUGGAAAUGACAUGCAACAUUUUGAAUAUGAUGGAAUUUGUACUCUCGAAACAAAUGAAUGGUUUUGAAAAAAAAAAAGACCCUAUUGACAACUUUAGGGGCUAACAUAAUGGUGUUUCCAAAUAUGUUAGAUUUUGAACAUCAAAAGGGUUAUUCGCAAAUGGGUGUCGAUGGUUGUCCCUAUUGAUUAGGGAUAUGACACAUGAAGGAUCAACUGGGGUUGGGGAUCUGAUCGGGCACUCUGUCGUUGCCCCUGCAGAAGAGAAAAUGGAUCAAUCAAUAGGGCCAAAAUUAAAGGUGAAUUGAGGCCUGAAGGAUCUCUGUCAUUUGCUUUGGCAAUUACUCAGGACGCCAUUUCGUUUGGGAGAGUUUGUCAUGCCUCUUAUUGAUUUGUUAUCUUUGUUUUGGACAGUCAGGUAAACAAACAAGACAUGCUUCUCAUUGAUUCGUUAUCCUUGCUUUUGACAGUCAGGUGAUCCUGUAACAAACAAGAGAGAAUGUGUUAGUCAUGAACUUUUUCAAGAGUUGAAUAACUGGAAGCGAUACAACUUUACCCUUCACUGGUUUGCAGACGAUUGGGUGAACCUGAAGUGAGAGGGGGACACGAAGUCCUACAUCCCUUGCUUCGUUAGGUCGAAUAUUGGCUCCUGGAUGACACGUCAUUUUACACGAAAUCAGGUGAAUUCGAUGUGGGUCAUUUCCAUGUACUAGCUUGGCCAAUGUUGAUUUGCCAAACCUAACCAUCAAGUUUGGCUCUUGAAUUCGGAUGCUUCCUGUCAAUAGGGAAAAUAUGUCAAAAGCGGGUUCGAGUAGUGGGAGUAUUGGAAACAAUACCAAGUUACCCUUUCCCAGAGUUUGUAUUUGUUGAUUCCUAAGGCUAUUUGAAUAUCGAUGAUUGACUCCUUAUCUUGACACAGUUCAAUCUUUCCUUCGAUUAGCCCUCCUCAUUGGUGGCCCUGUAUGCAUGAUUGAUGGUCGUUGAUUCAUCUUUAACGCCUUCCUUCUGUGGAAUUUUUCUUCUGUCUUUGAGGAAAUUACUUCUUGCAAGAGCAUGCGUCUGAAUAGGAAGUCAGGUUUCUAGGUCCUCAUUUUGAAUAGGGGCUAGAGACCGCUUCAACUAUUUGGAUUUCUUCCCUGUUGACAGUAGCCAAUUCAAAGAAAGAGAAAAUAUCCCUUCCUUGUGCUUUUGGGCUUGUUGAAGCUGGAAGUCUCGUUGAUGAAACCACAACAUCUGGUUGCUUAGGCACAUUGUGGGAAAGGAUAUUGCUCUGGCUUGUGAAGGAGUUGGGCAAGAGCAAGGUGGAGUGUACAGAGCUCUUGGGAACGCUUGAUUCCAACCGUAUGCCCGUACCUAUUACGUCCUAUUUUUCGUUUCCUGUAAAUAGAAGAGAAAGGACAUCAUUUCUAAAAUUAUAUUCAGAGAAUAAAACUUACCUUUUUGAAACGUGAUGAUCCUUUCUGUUUGCCCCUGCUUUCUUGGAAGGGUGUCAUUGGAUUCGGUGAAUUCACAUAAUGUGCUUGCUUCAAAUGCCCCCUGUCACACUAAGUCAAAGGGGACGGGAAUGAUCUUCUGAGACAUGAAGUGAGUGAGUCAGAAAGACAAACAUGAUUAAAUUUAUCAUCUUUUUUGAAAGAUUUUGGUGAUGAAGUGUUUUUUGUUUUCAAAAUAUGUAUUCGGGGGAGAAAAAGCAUGAGGAAGCCCAGCCCUCAGUAUUCUCCUUGGAUGAUAUAUUUUUUCAUGGUUGGAUAGCAUCACCGGGCUGGUUUGGAGUACCGCCUCAUGCUCUUAAAACAAAAUAUUAUAACUGCACAAUAGAAUACUUGGAAUGGAAAAUACAACCGUAGCACACUAGAUAAGAUAAGAGACAUGAAAUUAUAAAAACAAGUAAAACUCAUGAAAACCCCUGUGUAAAGGAGCGUUUUGAUAGUGCUGGUCUUGAAGCUAAGCGUCUUUGAAUUCUUCGCCUCCAGUAGACUCGAAGUAUUCACAUGAAAGGACCACUUCAUUGAGGCUAUGGAGAUGCAACCCAUGCAACCAACAACGAUGCUUGCAAGGUAAAGCCCCUAUGAACAGCUUUAUCAUUUCUUCUUCGGCCAAUUGAGGGUAAGAUUGCAUCAUAAAAGCCUCCCACCUCCUUGCAUACGAUCGGAAAUCCUCCAUUGGUCUUCUUUUGAAGUGAACCAAGUUCUGACAAUGCACUUCAGUCCCAAUCUGGCUUUGAUACUGAAGCAGGAAUGCCGAAGACAGCUCAUUCCAAUCCUUUAGAAGAUAAAUGUUUGCUGUGAUAAACCAUUGCAAUGCAGACCCCGUAAGAGUUUCUUGGAAUGCCUGAGUUGUGAACGACAUCAGGCCAUAGUACCGACUCAUUUCCACAUGGAGAUACUGCAAGUGGGCCACGGGACAAGCUGUGCCGUUAUACUUACGGAGAUUGGGUAUCCACAUUUCUAUGGGGUUCAUGAUCCUAUGAGGGCAAGACGGGCUUGAUGUAUCUUGGUUAAGCUAAUGGUUUUCCCACUGCAUAUCUGUUGUAGUGGUGAAUUUUUCUGUUUCAGGAGAGUUGGAUUCUACCGAGAUUAUCCCAUUACUUUCUUCUUGGUCAAGAUUUCCGAAUGAGGAUGAAGUAUUGAAGCUAUUCUCAUGGUCGGAGGAUGAGCUCAAUACUUCAUUAGGAUCGUAGUGGAUAAAGACGUACGAUUCUUCUCCUGACGGGCCUUCAUCCCUGGAUGAGAGUAGGAAACAGUUAUACGAUGAAUCGUCAGUUUCAUUGUUAAAAUAACGUUGGAAGUCCUUGGGAUUGUAUUCUAGGGCCAGGAAGUCUUCAGGAUUGUAUUCUUGGGAACGCCAGAAGCUUUGGUGCGGUGGCUCGUCAGUAGAUGCUGAAUUGAUCUGCUUAGGCUUUCUUUUCUUGGCCCCUGGUCCAGACCUUUUGAGUAAGGCCCUGCGUUUCGCCAGCUCGAUUCUGUCAAGGGGAGUGAAAGACACUAGAGCUUCAUUGUCUGAUUCACUUUCCAGGUUGAUAGGGGUUGGUAUUCUUUGGACCCUAGCUCUUGGAGUAAGCUUGGGGAGUUGUCCUGUUGUGCCCCAGUCUUGAACAGGCUCUGUGUCUUGGAUCUCGUACAAAGGCUCCUUGCCUUUCCUAGUGGGAAAUUUUCCAGUAACAGGGUGUUGUUCAGCUGCCCAUUUAUCAUGCAAGGCUUCAUUGACAUGCUCUUCUCCUAUCUCAGCGACUAACGGUUCCUUGUGCUCCGCAAUCAUCGGCUCUUCGUAGGGCAGGGUGAUGUCAAGAUUAUACUCUUGGUGAAAAACAUGAAUUAGUUCCCUCCAGGUUUUAAGGUGACUAAUCUUCCUGACAAUGUACCAUCGCAAGGCAGGGCCAGUCAAGCUCGAUUGGUACGAUUGAAUCAUCCUUCGAACCAGGUAGGCCUGUAAGUAAGUCUCUGGACGGGGGGUAUCAGCAUACCUUUCGCAUUCAGGUGCUUUGAGCUCUUCAGGAAUCUCAAUGCCGGCGUAAUUGGACAGGUCCAUGGGAUUCUGCUCCUACAGCUGGCUUAACUUUUUCAUAAUUUUUUCAAACUGUCUAUGGUACUGGCUAUUUUCUGGCAAAUUCGCAGGUGUCAUGACGGUGUUUGAGGCAACUAUAGAGUUGGGCUCAGCUUGAGUGGAUUUCAUUUGUCUCGAGAGUUGUUGAAGGACAAUGGACAUCUGUCCUACGCCGUCUUCAAUGUUAAUGAGGCGAUUUUGUACAUCAUUUUGAUCGGGCCCGAUUGUAUGAGGCCAUUCGCGAGUGAUUGGUGGCUGGCGAUUCAUAGUUACCUGCUUGUUGCGAAAACAAUGAAUGAGCAUGAAAGUAAACGAAGAUUGACCCAUGGCAAUGGUCUAACUGCUUUUUUAUUUAUCAAAAGAGGAUUUUAUAGACUGCAGACUUCUGACAUCUAAAACUUGAAAUUGAAAUGACAGAAUGAAAUACUAGAUAUUAAACAAAAGUCCCUAAACAAUGGGACGAAACUUUCACACUAUUAAUACUAAGGGGCACAUGAUUGCCAAUUUAUAUGCGACGGGGAGCCUUGUUCUUGCGAGAAUGGUUGCUUCCUUGGGCUGGCUCUGAGGUGUGCAUCCAGUCCAUUCCCAAAUCCCUCUCCAUGAGCUCUACUUGCUCGUGCUGGCUGCUCUCGCUGAUUAAGUGAGGGACUGAUGGCUUCCAUUUUUUCGGGAUGCGAUGGUUGUGGAUGUAGGACAUGGAGGCGUGGUGGGCUUUUUCUUCUCCCUCAAGCCCUUCAGGUACCACGAUCCUUUUGCGAUGGCACUUGGCCCAAGUUUCCUGAGCGGUAGAAACUUCGAAUUCGUAGUCACGGCUUGUAUUGAAAAGAACUGAAGAGACCUUCCUGAUGGAAGACGAUGGGAUCUCCUGAAGGGCUCCAUAUUGUCGUGCCACCCGAUAAGGGUGAUAGAGAAUGGCGCCGGUGCGGCCAAGCAACGGAAUUGGGAGAUCACGCUUAUAAGCGAAGCGAGCUCUUUUUUCAUGGAACCAACCAGCACACCAUUGGAAUGCCUCAGGAGCUGGGUCUCUUAGGAAGUUUACCCAAUUUAAACAGCUUUGAUUGGGAAUAUACGGUCCUAAAACGAUAAAUUUUUGUAAUGGGUUUUCAAAAGCAUUCGUUUCAGAUGAUCGCAUGAAGUCUCGAAAUUCGCUUAGGUGAGAAAAGAACCAGACUUGUAAAAUUUCAGGAGAGGCUCGCAUGAUUUUCUCUGAGUUGUCUUUAAAACGAUUAAAGGACAAGAAUGUUUCAGUUAAAAUCAUGUUGACAUAAUUCCCCCCUCUUAAGAUCUGAUCAACUAUCCAUGCCAUCUUGGGAGUUAUGGCAUUUCUUUGAUGGGGGAAGAUGAUGAGCCCGAAAAAGGCCAAGAGGAAAAUUUCACUUUUCUGGGUCAUAGGCUGAUUUUGGAAACAUGCAUUCAUAAAUUCCAGUGGGCAGGUUUUAUGGUUAUCUUCAAGAAUUUGUAUCAUAGUAUGGACUUCAGUUCUUAAAAGCCGUGCUAACCCACGUAUCGGGAUGAGGCCUGUUGAUGGUUUGAUAAGCUUUUUCUCAAGAGGCAUUCCAGUGAUGAUGCUGUAUUCUUCCAGGGUUGGGGUUAGCUCAAAUCUACCAAAUAUAAAAGCACCGUCUUCGGGCACCAGAAAUGUGCUAUGGCUUGUAUGACUUCAGGGCGAACAGUGAUUUGGAUCAACGAUAGGAGAUGACCGACUUUGGCCUUCACACGCUCUUGGGCAAACUGAUCUAACUGACCCCACCAUCUGAAGAGCUCUGCCUUGGGAGUAGGAAUGAACUGGAUAUCGUCCUUCCCCAUCGCAUAUAAACUGGGACUUGAAAAGCUUAUCCUAAAUUGCCAUGAGCCAAAUAAAAAGACUGUGUAAAAGUAAAGAAAUCACUUUGCUUUUAAAUAAAAUGGCAAGCACAAGGACAUGCACAUGGGACGUGCGGCUCGAUUUCUAACUGAGAAGGCUUGGUGAGAUUAAAAGGAUAUCCGCCCGUCGCAGUCUCGCGUUAGCAGCAUACCCUCCUAACCUCGGCUAAGAAAUUCGGGGAAAAGAAAGGCAACCUCUAUAUCGCAGUCUCGCGUUCGAGGUCGUAUCUUUCUUAACACCAUCCUAGAAAUCCUAUGGCGGCCCAGGUCCGGCGGCCGGGUUGUGUGUGUCAUGUGUAGUGUUUAAAACAGUAAAGCAUGCACAACAGUUUAUAAUCACAAAAACAUUUUAUUUUAACAGAAUAAAAAAACUUUAAGCUAUUACCCUGCAUAAAAAAAAAAAAAAAAAAAAAAAAAAAAAAAAAACCAAGUCAGCAAAGCAUUUAAACAAAGAUAAAAUGGCCUAAGUCCUCAACCUCCCCAGCGGAGUCGCCAAGCUGUCGCGACCUCUUUUUUCUCGGCGCCCGCAAUUGGGUACGAGCGCCUAAAGGAGGCUAAUGGCUCGGCUGAAUUUAUUAAGCCCGGACUCUCCCAAGUCCACCAAUUCACGACUUUAAUAGUUUGAGUUUUUAACCUAUAAAUCAAUUUUUAAAAUGGAGUCGCCACUAAUCGAUUUGGGGUGGGUUGAUUAGAAACCCAAGUGAAGUAUCGGGAGAAAUACUCACUCCUGCGCAACCAGAGAAAUUAGGAUCGGGGACUUGAUUACACUAGUUAAUCACUAAUGCCCUUUCGGUAUCUAAUCUUGUUUAAACCCUAAGGCUUUUUGAAUGUUUGAGAGAUUUUCCAUGCAUUUUUGGGAGGAAAAACAUUUUUUGAGUCAUUUUCUAAUUUUUUUGGACACAAAAGGGAUUUUUGGGGGUUUUUUGGUAUUUUUUUGGAAAAAUACAAGUCUUUCUGGCUUUUUCUGAAUUUUUGGCUUUUUUUUGGAAAAUAUGAAAUAUUUUUGAUAUUUUUGAUUUUUCGAAAAAUAAAAUAUUUUUUAAUAUUUUUUUGAUAUUUUUGGAAAAUAAAUUAUUGUUUGAUUUUUUUAAAAUAAAAUAUUUAUUAUUUAUUUAUUUAUUUAAAAUAUUAUUUUUAUAUUAAAAUAAUAUAAAAACUGACCCGGGUUGGAUCCGCGGGUUGGGUCCGACCCGGGCCAGCGAUCCGAAUGAGGACGGGCCCGCAACGCGGGCUUGACUCGGAUAUUUUCGUCACUUUUUUUCAAAAAACAAGGCCCAAACCGAUUUUGGCCCACUUUCGUUAUAUAAAAAAAAUCCAGGGAUUAACCGGCCCACACGCGCAGGCCCACAUCUGGGGGGGAAACCCUACCCGAUCGCUGACCCAUGCCCGACCCGCUUUCCUACCCGGCUUCUCCUUCGUAGAACCGGAUUUUGGGAACCCUAGAGCUCAACGAUUUGCAGCGCUGAGAUGGGGCCUAGCUGGGAUGUCACCGGGUGAUGACUCGACGCCGACGACGUGGCGAACGGCGGCGACAGGCAGCAGCUGGGGUUGAAGUGUAGGAGGGAACGGCGGACAGGGGUGACCGAGCUCGUACUCACCUGCGGUGAGCUGGAUCAAUCGGUGCCUGGCGUGGCUCUGGUCGACGUGGCACGGCGGGGGAGUAAAUCCGCGGGGAUGGAUCUGCGUCGAGGGGGCGGAAGCAGUAGCUGGCAACAGGCAGCAGCUUUGCUGCAGCAGAUCUGACGAAAGGGGAUGGCAACGGCGGGUAGGUGCUGAAGCAAUCAGUGUCGGAGGACGGCGGUACAGCUCGAGGCAGCUCCUUCUGGUUUCUCUUCUCUCCAGCCCCUCCCGGUGGAUCUGGAACUCUCUCCUCUCUUCCUUCGAUCUGGGCUUGCGAGUGUCGAGCCUCCCCCGAAGUCUCUCGGGGGAAGCUUGAAUGCUCGCAGCUUCGAUCUCUCUCCUCACGCUCGGAUCUCUCCCCUUCGCUUCUCACUCCGGCUAGAUCUGAGCCUCCACCGGCCGGAUCUAACCUCCCCGAACUCGCUCACCGGCAACCUCCCCCGAAGUCUCUCAGUGGGAGGUCGGCCGAGCUCGCGACCCGAGUCCUCUCUCGCUCGCUCUUCGAUUCCUCCCCCGAAGUCUCUCAGUGGGAAGAUCUCAGAGCUCGCUCGUGCUCCCUGGCCUUCCCCCCCGACACCCUAUUUAUAGGCGUGGGGGUGCCGGUCGGCAAAGGCUAGACCGGCGGUCUUUGGUGCACUAACCGGCCUUCCUUCGCCGGCCGAACCGGCGUCAGUUCCUCCCCUUCCACGGAGGCUCGCUUGCCAUCAAUGCUGCGUCCUCUCAGCCACCGGCCUACGCUCCUCUCUCUGCUGUAGGUGGUGCUCAAGCGCGUCUUCGUCGGAGCGCGUGACUUGCAAAGGCGGAGGAAGGAAGAAGAUGGGAGGAAGAAGACAGAGAAAAAAAAGGGGGGUAGGCCAAGUCGUGCGAGCCCACGUGAAGAAAAAGGGGGGGCUGCUGCUUUUGU